This 557-nucleotide ribosomal RNA is filed under the name Lactiplantibacillus plantarum. RNAcentral describes it as "bacterial SSU rRNA". The record is from RNAcentral. Lineage: Bacteria; Bacillati; Bacillota; Bacilli; Lactobacillales; Lactobacillaceae.
UGGUGCUUGCAUCAUGAUUUACAUUUGAGUGAGUGGCGAACUGGUGAGUAACACGUGGGAAACCUGCCCAGAAGCGGGGGAUAACACCUGGAAACAGAUGCUAAUACCGCAUAACAACUUGGACCGCAUGGUCCGAGCUUGAAAGAUGGCUUCGGCUAUCACUUUUGGAUGGUCCCGCGGCGUAUUAGCUAGAUGGUGGGGUAACGGCUCACCAUGGCAAUGAUACGUAGCCGACCUGAGAGGGUAAUCGGCCACAUUGGGACUGAGACACGGCCCAAACUCCUACGGGAGGCAGCAGUAGGGAAUCUUCCACAAUGGACGAAAGUCUGAUGGAGCAACGCCGCGUGAGUGAARAAGGGUUUCGGCUCGUAAAACUCUGUUGUUAAAGAAGAACAUAUCUGAGAGUAACUGUUCAGGUAUUGACGGUAUUUAACCAGAAAGCCACGGCUAACUACGUGCCAGCAGCCGCGGUAAUACGUAGGUGGCAAGCGUUGUCCGGAUUUAUUGGGCGUAAAGCGAGCGCAGGCGGUUUUUUAAGUCUGAUGUGAAAGCCUCCG